RNAcentral lists this ribosomal RNA (1252 nucleotides) under Acinetobacter sp. RNAcentral's name for it is "bacterial SSU rRNA". It matches the Rfam family "Bacterial small subunit ribosomal RNA", at positions 97 to 1344 of the family's 1533-position model. Lineage: Bacteria; Pseudomonadati; Pseudomonadota; Gammaproteobacteria; Moraxellales; Moraxellaceae. The record is from RNAcentral.
GGCGGACGGGUGAGUAAUGCUUAGGAAUCUGCCUAUUAGUGGGGGACAACAUUCCGAAAGGAAUGCUAAUACCGCAUACGCCCUACGGGGGAAAGCAGGGGAUCUUCGGACCUUGCGCUAAUAGAUGAGCCUAAGUCGGAUUAGCUAGUUGGUGGGGUAAAGGCCUACCAAGGCGACGAUCUGUAGCGGGUCUGAGAGGAUGAUCCGCCACACUGGGACUGAGACACGGCCCAGACUCCUACGGGAGGCAGCAGUGGGGAAUAUUGGACAAUGGGCGGAAGCCUGAUCCAGCCAUGCCGCGUGUGUGAAGAAGGCCUUUUGGUUGUAAAGCACUUUAAGCGAGGAGGAGGCUCCUUUAGUUAAUACCUAAAGAGAGUGGACGUUACUCGCAGAAUAAGCACCGGCUAACUCUGUGCCAGCAGCCGCGGUAAUACAGAGGGUGCGAGCGUUAAUCGGAUUUACUGGGCGUAAAGCGUGCGUAGGCGGCUUUUUAAGUCGGAUGUGAAAUCCCUGAGCUUAACUUAGGAAUUGCAUUCGAUACUGGAAAGCUAGAGUAUGGGAGAGGAUGGUAGAAUUCCAGGUGUAGCGGUGAAAUGCGUAGAGAUCUGGAGGAAUACCGAUGGCGAAGGCAGCCAUCUGGCCUAAUACUGACGCUGAGGUACGAAAGCAUGGGGAGCAAACAGGAUUAGAUACCCUGGUAGUCCAUGCCGUAAACGAUGUCUACUAGCCGUUGGGGCCUUUGAGGCUUUAGUGGCGCAGCUAACGCGAUAAGUAGACCGCCUGGGGAGUACGGUCGCAAGACUAAAACUCAAAUGAAUUGACGGGGGCCCGCACAAGCGGUGGAGCAUGUGGUUUAAUUCGAUGCAACGCGAAGAACCUUACCUGGCCUUGACAUACUAAGAACUUUCCAGAGAUGGAUUGGUGCCUUCGGGAACUUAGAUACAGGUGCUGCAUGGCUGUCGUCAGCUCGUGUCGUGAGAUGUUGGGUUAAGUCCCGCAACGAGCGCAACCCUUUUCCUUAUUUGCCAGCGGGUAAUGCCGGGAACUUUAAGGAUACUGCCAGUGACAAACUGGAGGAAGGCGGGGACGACGUCAAGUCAUCAUGGCCCUUACGGCCAGGGCUACACACGUGCUACAAUGGUCGGUACAAAGGGUUGCUACCUCGCGAGAGGAUGCUAAUCUCAAAAAGCCGAUCGUAGUCCGGAUCGCAGUCUGCAACUCGACUGCGUGAAGUCGGAAUCGCUAGUAAUCG